Cynoglossus semilaevis (tongue sole) is the source of this 2731-nucleotide RNA transcript. It is a transcript of the gene named galactose-3-O-sulfotransferase 2, with no coding region annotated. The record is from RefSeq and is a predicted model, not a curated record. Lineage: Eukaryota; Metazoa; Chordata; Actinopteri; Pleuronectiformes; Cynoglossidae. The transcript has 5 exons.
GGCAGAAACGAGAGAGAGAGAGAGAGAGAGAGAGAGAGAGAGAAAGAAGGAGUGAGGGACAACAGAUCGGAGCAGGAGUCGGAACAGCGGUUCUGGGCGAUGCUGUCCUCACUGUGGACAUGGACCAUUCUUUGAGUUUCUUCACCUCGUGUGUGAGGAGAGGACUGUGCUACAGGCGUCAGUCUCUGUGGGUCCUGCUCCUCCUGCUGGUGGUCUGUCUUGCUAUUCAGACAUUCGUCGCUCGUCAGGCGAGUAGUGACCGACCGACCAGGCUGCCACUCCUGAGGUUCACGGUCAACAAACAGCAGCUGUUUCCUACCAUCAUUCCUGGAGAUGACGAUGCUGAGUUCUCCCUUCAAGUCCAGCAGGACGUGAGAUCAGAACCCACUGGAAGCAGUUUGAACCGUCACCCUGAGAAUGCAGGACGUGCAGAGUCGUCUGAUAAUAUUUUACGGACCAGUGAUUCUGGCUCUGAUACGAAGGAAGGCAAAGUUCCCUCUCAGAAGUUUCUGUCGGAGAAGCAGAGGAACAACGCCGCCGCUGGACUCACCACUGACGAGACUUUAAUUAGACCCAGAAACAGAAGGCCAGCCAACACCUCCACGCUGCUCAGCUUCAUCAACAACGCCAACUCAGAAACCACUUGCCGACCAAAGUCGCACAUCGUCUUCCUCAAGACUCACAAGACGGCCAGCAGCACCAUCCUCAACAUCUUAUAUCGCUAUGGUGAACGCAGGAAUUUGACCUUUGCCCUGCCCUUGGACAAACACAGUCAGUUGUUUUAUCCUUUCUUCUUUGCGUCACACUUCGUGGAAGGCUUCAGCAGCAGGAGAGUGAAGGAGUUCAACAUCAUGUGCAACCACAUGAGGUUCAAGAAAUACGAGGUGGCCAAAGUGAUGCCCGGCGACUCCUUCUACUUCUCUGUGCUGAGAAACCCCGUGGCGAUGAUGGAGUCCAUCUUCACCUACUACAAGAGCAUACAAGCCUUUCACAAAACCAACAGCUUGGACGACUUCCUAAAAACCAGCUGGAGAAACUACAACUCGUCGGUCACCAACAACCACUACGCCCACAACAUCCUGGCCUUUGACUUCGGUUUCGACAACAAUGUCGCUGCUGACGCCGCGGACUUCGAGGACAGAGUCAGCAGGGUGAUCGCGGCCAUCGAACGGGAUUUCCACCUCAUUCUUAUUUCUGAAUAUUUCGACGAGUCCAUGAUCUUGCUCAAGCACGCCCUCUGCUGGUCGCUGGAGGACGUGGUGUCUUUCAAACUCAACAGUCGCAGCGAAAGAACUCGCCGCCAACUUUCCUCAGACACGGUGGAGGAAAUCAAAAAAUGGAACGCUCUGGACUGGAGGAUUUACCAGCAUUUCAACAACACUUUCUGGUACAAGGUGAACAGCUUGGUGGGCGACGAGCAGAUGACGAGGGAAGUCUCUCAGUUAAGAGAGCUUCAGGACGAGCUCGCGAACACCUGCCUGAAAGAUGGCCGGGCCGUAGAGCCGUCUCAGAUCAAAGACGCUGCACUGAAGCCGUUCCAGUACGGAGCGGCUGUGAUUCAGGGCUACAACCUGAACCCACAUAUAGACCAACAGACCAGGGCCAGAUGUGAGAGGCUCAUUACCCCAGAACUGCAGUACACAGAACGCCUGUACACGCAGCAGUUCCCUGAGCUGGCUGCCAAACAAAGACGAGCCACCAGGAAGAUUCCUUCGCGGCACCAGCGUUCAAAUAGAAGUGAAAUAAUGGGCCUGGCGUUGGCGAAGGAAGCCUUUCAGAAACUGUUUGUUAGAAGAAAAUUCUUCAAUCUGAAAAACCAGGAGGUUUCCAAAGGUUCCCCGCCAGCAGCUGACAACAGAAGAAGAAUAUGAAGAAGACUUACUUCAGUGUGGGAAAUUAUAGUAGAAUAAUAACAGAUUUCACCUGAACCCCUGCAGGGGGCGCUCUUAGCAGAGUUCAAAUGCCAUUGUCCAUGUGCUUUUUUUCUUGUUUUAUAGGAAUAAUCAAUCACUACGUUUGUCACAAAAGGUUGAAAAAUGUUUCGGAGAUGAGUAACGACUAAAAAGGUUAGGAGAAAUACAACUCUUCGACUUAGAGUUAAAUCAAAAUAUGUUCUGUUUCUGCCAGACAUUUUUCUUAAGGGCAAAUCUGAACACCAUAGUUGUUGGAAGAAACAUAAAUAAAUGUUUUUUUUUAACCACUAGAGGUUUUGUCUUCCCCGCCCCGAAAUAAACCCCCCAAAAAACAAACAAGGAUGGAUUCAGUCCAUGUCCUGUGUUGUUUUUGAUUUUCAUUUCUAGAAAAUUCUCCAUCAACAACACUGUCUCUGUCCACUGUAGUUUAACUCUGUACCACAGUCUCAGGCCACAGAUGAAGCUCCUCACACUGGAAUGAAGGUAAAUCUAAAAAGGUUUUAUUUAAAAACACUAAAUGUUUCAUGUUAUGAAAACCCACUGAGAUCAGAAUGAUUCCUGAUGAAGACGGACGAACGCUUCCUCUGCCGUUCCAUGAAGACCAAAACAAAGUUUUUGUUUUUUUUACUAGAAUUUGACACUUUUACUCCUUUCGACCUUUUCAAAGAAAUGUAUUUUCUUACCUUCAACAAGGUUUGUUAGCUUUAAGAACUGGUGUAUAAAAUUAAUGAUUUUUUUUAGGUGAUAGGUUUUGCUUUGUUAAUAUAGCAAAUGGUGAUAAAAAAAUGUGUGAAAUAAAAUUAUUUAUUUAUUAAACU